Molecule: non-coding RNA, 1601 nt
Organism: Odocoileus virginianus texanus
Lineage: Eukaryota; Metazoa; Chordata; Mammalia; Artiodactyla; Cervidae
Source: RefSeq, a predicted model, not a curated record
UGGAGGCUUUCUUGAUCAUGGAUGGUGAAGAUAUACCAGAUUUUUCAAGUUUGAAGGAGGAAACUGCUUAUUGGAAGGAUCUUUCCUUGAAGUAUAAACAAAGCUUCCAGGAAGCUCGGGAUGAGCUAGUUGAAUUCCAGGAAGGAAGCAGAGAGAGGCAGAGUUGGAGGCACAAUUAGUACAGGCUGAACAAAGAAAUAGAGACUUGCAAGCUGAUAACCAAAGACUGAAGUACGAAGUAGAAGCAUUGAAGGAGAAGCUAGAACAUCAAUAUGCACAGAGCUACAAGCAGGUCUCAGUAUUAGAAGAUGAUUUAAGUCAGACUCUGGCCAUUAAGGAGCAAUACAUAAGUAUGUAAGAGAGCUGGAACAGGCUAAUGAUGACCUGGAGCGAGCAAAAAGGGCAACAAUAGUUUCACUGGAAGACUUUGAACAAAGGUUAAAUCAAGCCAUUGAACGAAAUGCAUUUUUAGAAAGUGAACUUGAUGAAAAGGAAUCUUAGUUGGUCUCUGUACAGAGGUUGAAAGAUGAAGCAAGAAAUUUAAGGCAAGAACUAGCUGUUCGGGAAAGACAACAGGAAGUAACUAGAAAGUCAGCUCCCAGUUCUCCAACGCUGGACUUCGAAAAGAUGGAUUCUGCCAUCCAAGCAUCACUUUCUUUGCCAGCUACCCCUGUUGGCAAAGGAACGGAGAACAGUUUUCCUUCACCGAAGGCUAUACCAAACGGUUUUGGUACCAGUCCACUGACUCCUUCAGCUAGGAUAUCAGCACUGAACAUCGUGGGGGAUCUCUUACGGAAAGUCGGGGCUUUAGAAUCCAAAUUAGCAGCUUGCAGGAAUUUUGCAAAGGACCAAGCAUCACGAAAAUCCUAUAUUUCAGGGAAUGUUAACUGUGGGGUGAUGAAUAGCAAUGGCACGAAGUUCUCUCGAUCAGGGCACACGUCUUUCUUCGACAAAGGGGCAGUAAACAGCUUUGACCCGGCUCCUCCUCCUCUUGGUCUGGGCUCCUCGCGCCCGUCGUCAGCACCGGGUAUGCUGCCGCUCAGUGUGUGAGUGCCCGGCCUCCAGGUGGGGGCUCCUGCCCCCCUCCAAGCACAAGACACCCACGCCUCACCCCUCGGUGCCUGGGCCCAGCUCGUGCCCCUCCGCCUGCCUCCCCACAGCUGGCAGAGGGCAGGCUGCAUGCAGUGGCAGCUGCUGGGCUCGGUCUGGCCGCAGGACUCUGCGCGAUUUCAACACUGGCUAUUUUCUCUUCUCGCCAUAGUGCCGUUGGUUUCACAUGAUUGCACUUUUGUGGGUCACAAGGUGAUACAUGCGUGUAUUACUCGGUCACUGGAUGCAGAAGUACCCAUUCAUCAUAGCAUCUCCUAGCCCGGCCCUGCUGUACUGAUAGGAUUUAGUUGUGUUUAGGACAUUGCAGAUCUUCUAGAAGUUCUUCCCCAAAUCAGGUCAGCUUGUGGUCUCCUCCUGAGCUCCCAGCCAAGCGCCUCCAGUGCUGAUGAUCAUGUGUCCCCCUUCCCCCCGGGUUGGGCCUGUGGCUGGUGGAGAGUCAGGAAGGCCACUGAACUAGGGAGCAUUUUCUGCACCUUCUGGUUUUACUUUCU